CCUACGGGAUGCAGCAGUGGGGAAUAUUGGGCAAUGGACGCAACUCUGACCCAGCAACGCCGCGUGAAUGAUGAAGGUCUUCGGGUUGUAAAGUCCUUUGAUGGGGGAUGAACACAAUGACGGUACUCCAAUAGCAAGCCACGGCUAACUACGGGCCAGCAGCCGCGGUAAGACGUAGGUGGCAAGCGUUAUCCGGAUUGACUGGGCGUAAAGGGUGCGUAGGUGGUUUGGUAAGUUGGCGGUGUAAUUCCGGGGCUCAACCUCGGCGCUACCGCCAAAACUAUUAGGCUAGAGUGCAGGAGGGGUAAGUGGAAUGCCUGGUGUAGCGGUGGAAUGCGUAGAUAUUAGGAGGAACAUCAGGGGCGAAGGCGACUUACUGGACUGUAACUGACACUGAGGCACGAAAGCGUGGGGAGCAAACAGGAUUAGAUACCCUUGUAGUC
This 443-nucleotide ribosomal RNA is filed under the name uncultured bacterium. Its description in RNAcentral is "partial 16S ribosomal RNA". It matches the Rfam family "Bacterial small subunit ribosomal RNA", at positions 338 to 795 of the family's 1533-position model. The record is from RNAcentral.